CCUGACAUCGACUCCGCAGUUAAGCGUGCUUGGGCGAUAUCGUACUAGGAUGAGUGCCUCCCGGGAAUCCUCGUGUUGCAUUCCC
RNAcentral lists this ribosomal RNA (85 nucleotides) under Brassica oleracea var. gemmifera (Brussels sprouts). The record is from RNAcentral. Lineage: Eukaryota; Viridiplantae; Streptophyta; Magnoliopsida; Brassicales; Brassicaceae.